RNAcentral lists this ribosomal RNA (487 nucleotides) under uncultured Turicibacter sp. RNAcentral's name for it is "partial 16S ribosomal RNA". The record is from RNAcentral. Lineage: Bacteria; Bacillati; Bacillota; Erysipelotrichia; Erysipelotrichales; Turicibacteraceae.
CACGUAGUUAGCCGUGGCUUUCUCAUAAGGUACCGUCAAUUGAUAGUCAUUUCCUCCUAUCACCUUUCUUCCCUUAUAACAGAAUUUUACAACCCGAAGGCCUUCUUCAUUCACGCGGCGUUGCUCGGUCGGGCUUUCGCCCAUUGCCGAAGAUUCCCUACUGCUGCCUCCCGUAGGAGUCUGGGCCGUGUCUCAGUCCCAGUGUGGCCGUUCACCCUCUCAGGUCGGCUACGCAUCGUCGCCUUGGUAGGCCUUUACCCCACCAACUAGCUAAUGCGCCGCAGGCUCAUCCAUCAGUGAUGCCAGGAGCAUCUUUAAACUUUCGUCCUAUCCGGUAUUAGCGAUCGUUUCCAAUCGUUGUCCCCGUCUGAUGGGCAGAUCACCUACGUGUUACUCACCCGUUCGCCGCUUCCCACCGAAGUGGUUCGCUCGACUUGCAUGUAUUAGGCACGCCGCCAGCGUUCAUCCUGAGCCAGGAUCAAACUCU